UACGGAGGAGGCAAGCGUUAUCCGGAAUUAUUGGGCGUAAAGCGUCCGCAGGUGGCUCGUCAAGUCUGCGGUCAAAAACCGAGGCUUAACUUCGGCAAGGCCGUGGAAACUGAAGAGCUAGAGAGCCGUAGGGGUAGAGGGAAUUCCCGGUGUAGCGGUGAAAUGCGUAGAUAUCAAGAGGAACACCUGCGGCGAAGGCGGGUUGCUGGACCGGUACUGACGCUGAUGCGCGAAAGCGUGGGGAGCAAACGGG
RNAcentral lists this ribosomal RNA (253 nucleotides) under uncultured bacterium. Its description in RNAcentral is "partial 16S ribosomal RNA". It matches the Rfam family "Bacterial small subunit ribosomal RNA", at positions 524 to 776 of the family's 1533-position model. The record is from RNAcentral.